GACGUAUGAAACACUGUGCCCUUUUUUUAUGCUCCUCCACUAACACCAAAUACCCCAAAAUAAUACUUUGGUGUAGGGGACCUGAAUCUCCCACUAUAUUUUCAGGCACACACAAAAAAAAGAAAAAAGAAAAAAAUGAAUUAAUUUAUUAGAGGGAGUGUAGGGCAAACAUCUCACUAAUGGGGACAUUAUGCUAAGAUCUCUUGGCUUUCACGCUCACAAGACAUGGAUUUGGAAAACCUACUCCCCCGGCC
RNAcentral lists this long non-coding RNA (254 nucleotides) under Gossypium raimondii (Peruvian cotton). RNAcentral describes it as "long non-coding RNA (GRAI_LNC009375)". Lineage: Eukaryota; Viridiplantae; Streptophyta; Magnoliopsida; Malvales; Malvaceae. The record is from RNAcentral.